This 253-nucleotide ribosomal RNA is filed under the name uncultured bacterium. Its description in RNAcentral is "partial 16S ribosomal RNA". It matches the Rfam family "Bacterial small subunit ribosomal RNA", at positions 524 to 776 of the family's 1533-position model. The record is from RNAcentral.
UACGUAGGGGGCAAGCGUUGUCCGGAUUUAUUGGGCGUAAAGAGCGUGUAGGCGGCCAGACAGGUCCGUUGUGAAAACUCGAGGCUCAACCUCGAGAUGUCGAUGGAAACCGUCUGGCUAGAGUCCGGAAGAGGAGUGUGGAAUUCCUGGUGUAGCGGUGAAAUGCGCAGAUAUCUGGAGGAACACCGGUGGCGAAGGCGGCAUCCUGGACCGGUAUUGACGCUGAGGAGCGAAAGCCAGGGGAGCAAACGGG